UAUUUCAUAAAAUAAUUUUCAUUAACGUGCACAUGUGACAAUUUAUACCAAUACCCUCUUUUUUACAAUUGUUAUGUUGCUGUUAACUUGGCAGUGAGGUGACUGAAUCAAUUAAUGGAAAUCAGUGAGGUUACUUGUAUCACGAAGCACCCCCAUGAUUCCAAGGCUCAAUCCUUUGAUUUUAGAGACAGCACACUUAGCUUACAAGCAAGAUUAGGCAGUGCUGUGGACUCUAUUUCAGCGCAACACAAGUUCAAGGUAAUUGGAGGUUAAAGAUGGCGCCAAGAAAGAUCUGAUGAGCGAGAUCCAUCAUAUUAUCCAGUAUUAAACUUAUUUCGAUGUACAGUUCUUGUACGUAUUCUGCAAAUAUUUGAAAUUUGAAUGUUUAUGAUAACAAUUCAAACUAUGAAGUCACAAUCACACCAAAUUUUUGUGCAGUCAUUACUUCUCGCAAUACGUCCUUCUUUGCUCCUUGUAAAUGAUUUGCUGUAUAGCAUAUAGUUCACCAUCACAGCGUGUAAGCCUGCUGACGGUUUUCACAUU
Molecule: non-coding RNA, 543 nt
Organism: Ciona intestinalis (vase tunicate)
Lineage: Eukaryota; Metazoa; Chordata; Ascidiacea; Phlebobranchia; Cionidae
Source: RefSeq, a predicted model, not a curated record